UCCUCCACACAAUCCCGCUCUGAUACCAAAUGUUCUAGCAACUGCAGACCAUAUGUGAAAACUUGGUGAUUAGCCAGCAACAAAAGAAAAGAUCACCUAGAUGUGAAAGCAUGCAGAUAUAUUCAAGAAUGAGGGCAAUCAAGAAUGCCCAAGAUUUGAGAAGAAAAGAGGGAAGAUGAAGUGGUGGUAGAUUUCUUGGGAGAAAGAGAUUUAUUUCGUAUCUGUAUUCA
Molecule: long non-coding RNA, 230 nt
Filed under: Elaeis guineensis (African oil palm)
Lineage: Eukaryota; Viridiplantae; Streptophyta; Magnoliopsida; Arecales; Arecaceae
Description: long non-coding RNA (EGUI_LNC067970)
Source: RNAcentral